This 427-nucleotide ribosomal RNA is filed under the name uncultured bacterium. RNAcentral describes it as "partial 16S ribosomal RNA". It matches the Rfam family "Bacterial small subunit ribosomal RNA", at positions 355 to 774 of the family's 1533-position model. The record is from RNAcentral.
UGGGGAAUAUUGCACAAUGGGCGCAAGCCUGAUGCAGCCAUGCCGCGUGUAUGAAGAAGGCCUUCGGGUUGUAAAGUACUUUCAGCGGGGAGGAAGGCGAUAAGGUUAAUAACCUUGUCGAUUGACGUUACCCGCAGAAGAAGCACCGGCUAACUCCGUGCCAGCAGCCGCGGUAAUACGGAGGGUGCAAGCGUUAAUCGGAAUUACUGGGCGUAAAGCGCACGCAGGCGGUCUGUCAAGUCGGAUGUGAAAUCCCCGGGCUCAACCUGGGAACUGCAUUCGAAACUGGCAGGCUAGAGUCUUGUAGAGGGGGGUAGAAUUCCAGGUGUAGCGGUGAAAUGCGUAGAGAUCUGGAGGAAUACCGGUGGCGAAGGCGGCCCCCUGGACAAAGACUGACGCUCAGGUGCGAAAGCAUGGGGAGCAAACA